CUUUCUCUCUCUCUCUCUCUCUCUCUCUCUCUCUCUCUCUCUCUCUCUCUCUCUCUCUGACUUUUUUCCUCUCAGUGAUGUCUAUUCCCUAAUGUCUAUAAGAUCUACUCAGACCUGCUCUAUGCAUUCUGACAAGCGAAGGACCUACACUGAAUGGCGUGGAGAAAGUGUCUGAGGGAAGAAAGAAAAAAGAGAAAGUAGAGAUAACUCUCAAAUAUUGGAGUGACACCUGACAAACUACUGUGUUUUCAGGAAAUUUCCCCACUUACCACAGUUGGUGACUGACAAAGCACUACAAUGUUUUACAGUUUGAGUGAAGACUAAAU
Molecule: long non-coding RNA, 326 nt
Organism: Ictalurus punctatus (channel catfish)
Lineage: Eukaryota; Metazoa; Chordata; Actinopteri; Siluriformes; Ictaluridae
Source: Ensembl